CUACGGGUUGCUGCAGUAGGGAAUAUUGCACAAUGGGCGAAAGCCUGAUGCAGCAACGCCGCGUGCGCGAUGAAGGCCUUCGGGUUGUAAAGCGCUUUUCUGAGGGAUGAGAAAGGACAGUACCUCAGGAAUAAGGAUCGGCUAACUACGUGCCAGCAGCCGCGGUAAAACGUAGGAUCCGAGCGUUAUCCGAAUUUACUGGGCGUAAAGCGUGUGUAGGUGGUUUGGUAAGUUGGAUGUGAAAGCUCCUGGCUUAACUAGGAGAGGCCGUUCAAAACUGCCAGACUAGAGGGCGGUAGAGGAAGGUGGAAUUCCCGGUGUAGUGGUGAAAUGCGUAGAUAUCGGGAGGAACACCAGUGGCGAAGGCGGCCUUCUGGGCCGUCCCUGACACUGAGACGCGAAAGCUAGGGGAGCAAACGGGAUUAGAUACCCUCGUAGUC
Molecule: ribosomal RNA, 440 nt
Filed under: uncultured bacterium
Lineage: Bacteria
Description: partial 16S ribosomal RNA
Rfam family: Bacterial small subunit ribosomal RNA
Source: RNAcentral